GAUGAACGCUGGCGGCGUGCCUAAUACAUGCAAGUCGAGCGAACAGAAGAGGAGCUUGCUCCUCUGACGUUAGCGGCGGACGGGUGAGUAACACGUGGAUAACCUACCUAUAAGACUGGGAUAACUUCGGGAAACCGGAGCUAAUACCGGAUAAUAUAUUGAACCGCAUGGUUCAAUAGUGAAAGACGGUUUUGCUGUCACUUAUAGAUGGAUCCGCGCCGCAUUAGCUAGUUGGUAAGGUAACGGCUUACCAAGGCAACGAUGCGUAGCCGACCUGAGAGGGUGAUCGGCCACACUGGAACUGAGACACGGUCCAGACUCCUACGGGAGGCAGCAGUAGGGAAUCUUCCGCAAUGGGCGAAAGCCUGACGGAGCAACGCCGCGUGAGUGAUGAAGGUCUUCGGAUCGUAAAACUCUGUUAUUAGGGAAGAACAAAUGUGUAAGUAACUAUGCACGUCUUGACGGUACCUAAUCAGAAAGCCACGGCUAACUACGUG
This 497-nucleotide ribosomal RNA is filed under the name uncultured bacterium. RNAcentral's name for it is "partial 16S ribosomal RNA". It matches the Rfam family "Bacterial small subunit ribosomal RNA", at positions 28 to 507 of the family's 1533-position model. The record is from RNAcentral.